This 1397-nucleotide long non-coding RNA is filed under the name Mus musculus (house mouse). Its description in RNAcentral is "Pirmy". Lineage: Eukaryota; Metazoa; Chordata; Mammalia; Rodentia; Muridae. The record is from RNAcentral.
CAAGGGUGCGGUUGUGAAGGUGUUCUCCUCUUAGAUGACCUGUAAAUGAUAAUCUGCCCUGAUCAGGGUUGUUGGACAGUUAAUCGAGGUGUGACAGGGUGGGGAAUCUCAGGCCCAGGAGGCCACUAUGUGAGGAAAAGCCUCCUGAUCGCAAUUUUCUGUGGAAUCUGAGGGUGAAUGGAAGGUGGAGGACCGUAUUCAUGGAAGAGGAUUGAACAGACUACUGAGUUCUUAAGAGAAAAAUGGCACUUAAGAAAUUGAUGGUGAUAUCAAAGGAAGGUUACUUAUUACUCUUGGACUUUGAUGAUGAGGACGAUGACAUAAAAGUUUCAGAGGAGGCUCUUGCGGAAGUAAAGAGCCCAGGAUUUGAUAAAAAUGAGAAUAUAUCGCCUCAAGCAGAAGCAGAUGAAUAUAUGGGAGAUGAAGUAGACAGUAUGUUGGAUAAAUCUGGAGUAAAGAACCCAGCAAUUGGUAAAGAUGAGAAUAUAUCGCCUCAAGUAAAAGGAGAUGAAGACAUGGGUUCAAUAGAGUACUUCAAAAGUUGUGUUUGUGUUACCUUCACUGGAAAAGUAGAUUCAGGAAUAUCAGCAUUUCAAGAGAUGAAAUUGACAGUAUGUUGGCUACAUCUGGAGGUCUUUUCUCCUGAGAACACGGGACUCCAGCAUCUUCGGAUUCUGCUCUUGGAGGGGUUUGCCCCACAUCCUCUAUAUUGCAGAAAACAAGACUAGGCUCUACCUCUGUAGAUCAAGCACGACUGAAAUCCGUGCUCUCAAAAGAUGCUGGGGAGAAAGAGUGCCAUUCUUCACAAAUGCUGGAUCCUGCAGAUGUUCACCAUCUCAUGAGUAGGGCCUCAGAAGUCCCCCACCAUGCCAAAGGAUUCACAGACCUACCAAAUCUUUGAAAACCCCAUCAGAAAAGGCCCCUUCUGCCCAAGAUUAUCUGAAUGAAACAUAGCAACUGUAACUUAAAUCAAGAAAGCUAUUUUGUGCGGACAUUAGAAGUGUGAAACUAAUUCUCAAAAGGUGUAUAUUAUCUGAAUCAACACUUAUAAUUUCCUACCCAUUUUACAACACAGCAAGUUCUUCAUGCCUAGCAGGAUUAUUCUGCUGCAUCAUUGGACUGAAAGUGAAUGGCCCAUGUGUUGCCACUGAUGUGAGCCAUUUGCCUGUUGUGCUUCAGGAGAAUUAUAUGACCUUCAACAAGCAAUCUAAAUAUGAAAAAUUAAUAGGAACCCAACUCGCUAACUGUGACAGACAAAGCAAUUGUUUAAGGCCACAAGUGCUAUCUUCAGGAAUCCAACUUUGUCUGUGUUCUGAAUCUAGUCAAACACAGAUAUAAGUAUUUGAAAUAAAACUUUCAUUUGUACUAUAAAGAAAAAAAAAAAAAAAAAAAAAAAA